CAAUAGCGUACAUUAAAGUUGUUGCAGUUAAAAAGCUCGUAGUUGGAUUUCUGGUGUCGCAGUGCUUCCGCGUGUUUAAUUACAUGUCGAGUUGUGUUUGCGUCGCCAUCUUUUAGCAGCACCCUCCUGGCAUUAGGUUGUUGGGUUGGUAAUGCUAAUCGUUUACUGUGAAGAAAUUAGAGUGUUCAAAGCAGGCUUAUGCCGUUGAAUACGUUAGCAUGGAAUAAUGAGAUAGGACCUUGAUACUAUUUUGUUGGUUUGCGCAUCAAGGUAAUGAUUAAUAGGGGUCAGUUUGGGGGGGUCUACGUUCGUUACGUUUUAACGUUCGUCGAAGGUAGGGUAAGUUAAACUUUUCGGUUAGGUUUAGUUUUUAAAGGUUUAAAACGGGAACCGGUAACCUUACG
RNAcentral lists this ribosomal RNA (404 nucleotides) under uncultured eukaryote. RNAcentral's name for it is "bacterial SSU rRNA". It matches the Rfam family "Eukaryotic small subunit ribosomal RNA", at positions 592 to 945 of the family's 1831-position model. The record is from RNAcentral.